This 30-nucleotide non-coding RNA is filed under the name Rattus norvegicus (Norway rat). The record is from RNAcentral. Lineage: Eukaryota; Metazoa; Chordata; Mammalia; Rodentia; Muridae.
UGUACACAACACGUGGUUAGGUCUUACUGC